This 506-nucleotide ribosomal RNA is filed under the name uncultured bacterium. Its description in RNAcentral is "partial 16S ribosomal RNA". It matches the Rfam family "Bacterial small subunit ribosomal RNA", at positions 28 to 506 of the family's 1533-position model. The record is from RNAcentral.
GACGAACGCUGGCGGCGUGCCUAAUACAUGCAAGUCGAACGCAUUUUCUUUCACCGUAGCUUGCUACACCGAAAGAAAAUGAGUGGCGAACGGGUGAGUAACACGUGGGUAACCUGCCCAUCAGCGGGGGAUAACACUUGGAAACAGGUGCUAAUACCGCAUAAUUCCAUUUACCGCAUGGUAGAUGGAUGAAAGGCGCUUUUGCGACACUGAUGGGUGGACCCGCGGUGCAUUAGCUAGUUGGUGGGGUAACGGCCUACCAAGGCUGCGAUGCAUAGCCGACCUGAGAGGGUGAUCGGCCACACUGGGACUGAGACACGGCCCAGACUCCUACGGGAGGCAGCAGUAGGGAAUCUUCGGCAAAGGACACAAGUCUGACCGAGCAACGCCGCGUGAGUGAAGAAGGUUUUCGGAUCGUAAAACUCUGUUGUUAGAGAAGAACAAGGAUGAGAGUGGAAAGUUCAUCCCUUGACGGUAUCUAACCAGAAAGCCACGGCUAACUACGU